RNAcentral lists this ribosomal RNA (497 nucleotides) under uncultured bacterium. RNAcentral describes it as "partial 16S ribosomal RNA". It matches the Rfam family "Bacterial small subunit ribosomal RNA", at positions 28 to 507 of the family's 1533-position model. The record is from RNAcentral.
GAUGAACGCUGGCGGCGUGCCUAAUACAUGCAAGUCGAGCGAACGGACGAGAAGCUUGCUUCUCUGAUGUUAGCGGCGGACGGGUGAGUAACACGUGGAUAACCUACCUAUAAGACUGGGAUAACUUCGGGAAACCGUAGCUAAUACCGGAUAAUAUUUUGAACCGCAUGGUUCAAAAGUGAAAGACGGUCUUGCUGUCACUUAUAGAUGGAUCCGCGCUGCAUUAGCUAGUUGGUAAGGUAACGGCUUACCAAGGCAACGAUGCAUAGCCGACCUGAGAGGGUGAUCGGCCACACUGGAACGGAGACACGGUCCAGACUCCUACGAGAGGCAGCAGUAGGGAAUCUUCCGCAAUGGGCGAAAGCCUGACGGAGCAACGCCGCGUGAGUGAUGACGGUCUUCGGAUCGUAAAACUCUGUUAUUAGGGAAGAACAUAUGUGUAAGUAACUGUGCACAUCUUGACGGUACCUAAUCAGAAAGCCACGGCUAACUACGUG